GGAGGGUGCGAGCGUUGUCCGGAAUCACUGGGCGUAAAGGGCGCGUAGGCGGCUUCUUAAGCGGGCGGUGAAAGCCCGGGGCUCAACCCCGGGUCGGCCGUGCGAACUGGGAAGCUCGAGCCCACUAGAGGCAGGCGGAAUUCCGGGUGUAGCGGUGGAAUGCGUAGAGAUCCGGAAGAACACCGGUGGCGAAGGCGGCCUGCUGGGGUGGAGCUGACGCUGAGGCGCGACAGCGUGGGGAGCAAACAGGAUUAGAUACCCUGGUAGUCCACGCCGUAAACGAUGGGCACUAGGUGCUCGGGGGAGCGACCCUCCGGGUGCCGGCGCUAACGCAUUAAGUGCCCCGCCUGGGGAGUACGGCCGCAAGGCUG
Molecule: ribosomal RNA, 371 nt
Filed under: uncultured bacterium
Lineage: Bacteria
Description: bacterial SSU rRNA
Rfam family: Bacterial small subunit ribosomal RNA
Source: RNAcentral